RNAcentral lists this ribosomal RNA (465 nucleotides) under uncultured bacterium. RNAcentral's name for it is "bacterial SSU rRNA". It matches the Rfam family "Bacterial small subunit ribosomal RNA", at positions 338 to 795 of the family's 1533-position model. The record is from RNAcentral.
CCUACGGGGUGCACCAGUAGGGAAUCUUCGGCAAUGGACGAAAGUCUGACCGAGCAACGCCGCGUGAGUGAAGUAGGUUUUCGGAUCGUAAAACUCUGUUGUUAGAGAAGAACAAGGACGUUAGUAACUGAACGUCCCCUGACGGUAUCUAACCAGAAAGCCACGGCUAACUACAUGCCAGCAGCCGCGGUAAUACGUAGGUGGCAAGCGUUGUCCGGAUUUAUUGGGCGUAAAGCGAGCGCAGGCGGUUUCUUAAGUCUGAUGUGAAAGCCCCCGGCUCAACCGGGGAGGGUCAUUGGAAACUGGGAGACUUGAGUGCAGAAGAGGAGAGUGGAAUUCCAUGUGUUGCGGUGAAAUGCGUAGAUAUAUGGAGGAACACCAGUGGCGAAGGCGGCUCUCUGGUCUGUAACUGACGCUGGGGCUCGAAAGCGUGGGGAGCAAACAGGAUUAGAUACCCGUGUAGUC